AGUGAACGCUGGCGGUAGGCCUAACACAUGCAAGUCGAACGGCAGCACAGUAAGAGCUUGCUCUUACGGGUGGCGAGUGGCGGACGGGUGAGGAAUACAUCGGAAUCUACUUUUUCGUGGGGGAUAACGUAGGGAAACUUACGCUAAUACCGCAUACGACGUACGGGUGAAAGCAGGGGAUCUUCGGACCUUGCGCGAUUGAAUGAGCCGAUGUCGGAUUAGCUAGUUGGCGGGGUAAAGGCCCACCAAGGCGACGAUCCGUAGCUGGUCUGAGAGGAUGAUCAGCCACACUGGAACUGAGACACGGUCCAGACUCCUACGGGAGGCAGCAGUGGGGAAUAUUGGACAAUGGGCGCAAGCCUGAUCCAGCCAUGCCGCGUGUGUGAAGAAGGCCUUCGGGUUGUAAAGCCCUUUUGUUUGGAAAGAAAAGCAGCAGGUUAAUACCCCGCUGUUCUGACGUUACCCAAAGAAUAAGCACCGGCUAACUUCGUG
Molecule: ribosomal RNA, 492 nt
Filed under: uncultured bacterium
Lineage: Bacteria
Description: partial 16S ribosomal RNA
Rfam family: Bacterial small subunit ribosomal RNA
Source: RNAcentral